AUGAGACCAACCAGCCAGCUUCUUCUGCUCCUCUUCUUGGCAUGCAUCUUGCUCCUCUCCAUCCAGACCUCCGCUGCUGACAAGCUCGAGAAAGGCCAGAACCUCACUGACUCCAAUGGCGACACGCUUGUCUCGGCCGGCGGCUCCUUCACCCUAGGGUUCUUUUCUCCCGGGGUGUCCACUAAGAGGUACCUCGGCAUAUGGUUCUCGGUGUCCAACGACACCGUCUACUGGGUGGCCAACCGUGAUGACCCUCUCGGCGACACGUCCGGCAUGUUUGUGUUCAACGACGCUGCCACCCUCGUCCUGCUUGACGGCUCCCGCCGCACGGUCUGGUCUUCAGACUUCUCCAGCGGAAGCGCGGCUCAACUUCUCGAUUCCGGCAACCUGGUUGUGCGGAACGGCAGCAGUGACGCCUACCUGUGGCAGUCGUUCGACCACCCGUCGGACACCUUGCUGCCCGGCAUGAAGCUGGGUAAGAACUUCUGGACCAAAACCGAGUGGCAGCUCACGUCAUGGCGAUCAGCGGACGACCCGUCUCCGGGGGACUACGGCCGUACGCUGGAAACUAAGGGGUUACCGGAGCUCGUCCUGUGGCGUGGCAACGUCAAGACGUACCGCACGGGGCCAUGGAACGGUCUCUACUUCAACGGUGUCCCGGAGGCAUCGACGUACACGAACAUGUACCCGCUGCACAUGACCGGCCUGACGGGCAGGUCGACGGAGAUAACAUAUGGGUACACCGCCGUGCCCGGCGCACCACUGACCCGCGUCGUUGUGAACCACACUGGCGUGGUGGAGCCGCUGGUGUGGAACACCGACACAGGGGCGUGGAUCUCCUUCUUCAGCAGGGGGGCAAGGGACGUCACCUGCGAAGCCUAUGGCAAGUGCGGGGCGUCUGGCCUCUGCAACCCUGAGGCGGCAUUGUCCGGGUUCUGCGGCUGCCUGCCGGGGUUCAGCUCUGUAUCGGCUUCGGCGUGGCAGAUGAAGCAGUAUGCGGGCGGGUGCCAGCGCGACGCAGUUCUGGAGUGUCGUGGCGGGAAGACGACGGGCCGCUUCAAGGUGGUGUCAGGAGUGAAGCUUCCUGACACGCAGAAUGCGACCGUGGAUAUUGAUGUCGCUACGCUGGAGGAGUGCGAAGCGAGGUGCUAUGCCAACUGCUCAUGCUUGGCCUACGCUGCUGCUGAUACCAGAGGCGGCGGCAAUCGCAGUGGCUAUGUCAUGUGGGCGGAUGCCAUUGUUGAUCUUCGCCUCAUUGACAACAAGCAGGAUCUCUACCUCAGGUUGUCGAAAUCAGAAUUUGGUGAGCCAUCUGUGUCCAAGUUUCCUACUCGGAUUGUUAUAAUCGGUGUAUCUGUAUCCGUGAUCAUCAUCGUGGUUCUCCUUGCUUUCUUCUUUUUCAUCUGGAGACGAUCUCACAAUCCAGGAGGUUUUUCCGACCGAAACAUCAUUGGCAAAGGAGGAUUUAGCAACGUCUACAAGGGGAAGUUACGCGAUGGUACAGACCUUGCCGUUGAUGUUGCUGUAAAGAGGCUGAAACGCACUCGUCUUACUGAUAAAGGGAGGGAAGAUUUCUUAAGGGAAGUGGAAGUGAUGUCGACCCUCACGCAUGUCAAUCUUGCCGAGCUUCUCUACUAUUGCCAGGACCAGGAAGAAGAUGAGUGGAUACUAGUCUAUGAGUGGAUGGAGAAAAAAAGUUUAAAUCGCUACAUAUUUGGUACCCACUGCAAUGCAUGCCGUGUCAAUCUAUCAUUAUAUGCGCACAUGUAUCCAAAACUAUUCAUAUCUGUAUUUGGCCUCACGCACCUGUUUGGAAACGCAGGAGAACAAAACAUGCCCCGCUCUUCACCGAAUUGGGCGCAAAGACUGGAAAUAAUUCGUGGGGUUGCAGUAGGUGUUGAAUUCCUUCACAGCAAGCAAGUCAUUCACAGGGAUCUUAAACCUGGCAAUAUACUUCUGGAUGAUUCGUGGAACCCGAAGAUAGCAGACUUCGCCACUGCCAAGCUGUUCAUUGCCGACCAGACAGAUCCGACAGUAGUACUGACACCAGGAUAUGUCGCUCCAGAGUAUGCAGGAGCAGAGCGGACCCUGACGUACAAGUGUGAUGUAUAUAGCUUCGGAGUCGUCCUGCUGGAGAUAGUCAUCGGCAAAAGGAGAACAAGCAUGCCAACGUUCCUUCUUCAUGCCUGGGAAUUGUGGAAUCGUCGUGAUAUUGAGGAGCUUCUUGAUCAAGAAGUGGGCGAACUUGGCGAGCUCUUGUCAGCACUAGCCAGGUGCAUCCAGAUUGGCCUUCUCUGCGUGCAGAAUUUGCACCGGUCGCCUGAGGAGGACAGGCCUGCCAUGUCUGAAGUUGUGGCAAUGCUAACCAGCAGCGACUCACAGCUCCGAAUGCCAAGCUAUGAUAAUCAGGAGAGUGAAUAUUGUAUGGGCAAGUAA
This 2436-nucleotide ribosomal RNA is filed under the name Triticum aestivum (bread wheat). RNAcentral describes it as "partial small subunit ribosomal RNA". Lineage: Eukaryota; Viridiplantae; Streptophyta; Magnoliopsida; Poales; Poaceae. The record is from RNAcentral.